RNAcentral lists this long non-coding RNA (6683 nucleotides) under Malus domestica (apple). RNAcentral's name for it is "long non-coding RNA (MDOM_LNC008877)". Lineage: Eukaryota; Viridiplantae; Streptophyta; Magnoliopsida; Rosales; Rosaceae. The record is from RNAcentral.
AACCCUCGUGAUCCCGACGUCCAAAUCCUUCCAACGAAGCACUCCGAGCUUCCUUGGGACCUCACUAAGCUCACUAUGAGCUUGGAUUGUCCUAAAAAUCAACCAAUUCAAAGCUCUCAUGAACAGUACACAUUCACGGCAACUUUAGAAACUAGGGUUUUCGAAGUGAAACUUACCUUAAACUGGUACCUACGUGAUCGUGGAGUCCUCAGGAGUGCAUUGGUGGUUUUAAAUCCGGCGUUGGUAAUAGUUUUAGGUGGUUUUGAUGGUUGCCCGUGUGUUCGAGAGGGUGAGAGAGAGAGAGUGAGGUCUGAGGAAGAGAGAGAGAGUAUGAAGGACAGUAUACGGGAAAUGGGGAGGGAAAUAAGGAAUGGGGAUCCCACGUGGUCCUUUUCCAAUCCCCAACUCUAAACCACAAAAUUUUAACCUAAAAAUCUAAGUUCCAUCCUUAUUAAAUUCCAUUUUAUUUUCAAAACUUAGGAACCUAGAUAAUUAUCAACUUGAGCUUCACAUACUUAGUAUUUCUUAAGGGCAAUUUCGUCCAUUCACAGCCACGAAUGUAAUAUUUUGGAACGGGCUGUGACAAUCUCCCCUCCUUAUAGAAUUUCGUCCCCGAAAUUCCAGCAACCAACUAAAUCAACCAUACUCCAACAAUAGCUUCGGGUAAAUCUCUCUCAUCCGAUUCUCUUUCUCCCACAUAAUUUUCUACUGAAUGAUUUCCUUCACAAAGCUUUUACCACUUACUCUGUCUUAAUUCUCAGGACCUUCUUUUUUCCAAUCCAAAGUCGUCCUUGGUUCCUUAUCAAGUCGAAUCCAAUUUAAUUCUCAAUAGUUGCACUAGAAUCUCAUGUGACGACUCUGCCACCUAGCGACAACGCAUCGAACACAAAAUACAUUAAGUACCGUUGCCCUGUCUGGGAAAAAGUUAUUACUCAGCACUGGAGUAAUUGUACUAACUUGGUACAUUGACCAACUAUCACUUCAAAUUCGAUCAUAACCAUCUUGUGUACAAGGAAGCUUGUACACAUAAUCCAAAGUAAUAUCUUUCCAUUUCCACUGCGAAACAGAAAAUAAUUAUCUCAAUCCAAAGGUUUAUCUCUUUCUGCCUCAAUCUGCUGACCAAAUAAAACUGUCAAAUGGUAUGAUAAAUCUUAUUACUUUUGGAAUAUUUCAGAAGUUGAACAGUGAACUUCGUCCAAUAUUUGCUUGCUUCAAAUCCUCAGCAUUCGGUACAUACUUCUUACUUUCUUGUAUCCACAUACCAUUUGAUUCACGAAUCAUUCUUUUUCUUUUCUUUCCUUGCCUUGGUUAAUUCUUAAAUUCCUCGUCAAACAUUUAAGUUUCGAGUACGACCUUACCAAACAGGCCUAACUUGAAAAUUAACAAGUAUAACUUCUUCUCGAUCUUUCAUUCUUAACUUUACUUUAAUUGAUUUUCAAUCCACGAGAAGAUAAUCUUGGCAAGCGUGCCUGACAUUAAUCUUACUGUAGUCUUCUCACCAAGUGCUUCAGCUAGAACAAUUCUACGAUCACCCUGAUCGUACAAUCAUGUUCAUUAAGCAAUACAAUUCACUUUCGCUGCCUCAUAUCAAAAUCCUUCCAAGUAAUGGAUAUUGAAGACUUUUGGAUUCGUAAAAUCUUGCAUUCUUAUCAACAUUUAAGGUCUCCAUAACUUCACAACAAGGAUGGUAAUCGCCAAUCUUAAAUCACAAGUAGGGUACUUCAUCUCAUGAGAUUCCAUUUGUCAUGAAACAUAUGCCAUCACCCUAACAUUUGUAUCAACAUGCCUCCAAUACCAUUCAAGAAACAUCACUAAAAAUUUAUGAUUACCACUAUCUUCUAGGAUUACUAAAAUACGUGUAUGAGUGAGGAAAUACUUUAGUUGUUGAAUCCCUUACUCACAAUUUCCUUCCCACUUAUACAUAACUCUUUUUCUCAACAGUCUCGUCAAUGACAAAGCAAUGACUGAAAAAUCUUUCACAACCAUCCAAGAUAGCCUGGUAAGUUAAGAAAUUCCAAAUCUCAAUUACGACUCGUGGUUGUUCCAAAUUCUCAAUUUCUGCUAUCUUUUAAGGAUUCACUUGAAUACCUUAAGAAUAUAUAACAAUUCUCAAAAUGCCACUUGAUUCAUUUAACUUUAGCCUUUGCUAAACUUAGCAUACAACCAACGUUCUCUCAAUCUUUGCUUCAUCGACUUAAUACAUUUACAUGCUCUGCUCUGGCUUAGAGUAUACCAGAAUAUCGUCAAUGACAAAUGAUAUCAAUCUAUCAAGGCAUUAUUGGAAUACUUCAUCCAUCAACUCAUAAAACAGCAUGAGUAUCCAUAUAGCAUCACCAAACUUCAUAAAGACUAUAACAAGUCCAGAAAACCAUCUUAUGAUCAACGUCACUUAAAAUAUUCAAUUGGUAGUAACCAGAUCUCAAUUCAAUCUUUGAAUCUUCGCAAUUUACUUCUGAGCUGGUUAAAUAAACAUCAGUACAUCACCAUGGAUAACGGUUCUCAAUCGUUACCCGACUCCAUUGUCUAUAAUCAAUGGAUAGCCUUAAAAAUCCAUUUUCUUCCUCACCAACGAACUGGGGUUCCCCCAAAGCGUUGUACUAGGUUGAAUAAAACUUUUAUCAACCAAUUCUUUCAACUGAAUUUCCAAUUCCCUUAACUCAUCCUGAACCAAUCUCCAAUAUAAAUUUAUAUCUAGCAACAAUUCAAUAGCGAACCUCAUAUCUCUGCCUGAAGGCAAUCCAGGUAUACUUUCAAGGAAGACAUCAAGAAAAGUCUAACCCCUUUUUCAUUUUUUCACACUUCUCCGAGCAACAUCCUUUAGUACCACAUGAACUAAGUAUUUUUGGGCAGCCUUUCAAAACAAUCUCUUUGCUUUCACAGCAUAAAUAAUGGCUGAACUCACUUCACUUUGCAUGCCCACUCAUUAAGGUAACCUCUGAUCAUCCAGAUCGAUGGAAAGUGACUGGUUUCCCAUAACAUUCCAUCUAGUCACAACUAUAAACAAUCAAUCUAAUGGAAUAAAAUUAACUGACCCAAUACAUACUUAUUAUUACUGAACAUUCUAAAUAAGUACAACACUAACAUAAAAUAACCUACCGGUUUGCUUGCUUAACGAAUCCACAAAUGAGUUAUUAAUAUUACGGUCUGCAGCCCGCAAUACUGAUAAAUCAUCGUUGUCUCGAUAAGUAGGCAACCACUCUCAAAGAUAUAACAUACAUAAUAAGAAAUAUAUCAGCCGAAGUCAACUAGAAUGAUCAAUACGGCAGAUUCAACUCUUAUCUCAAUAAUACGUCGGCCGGAUCCACUCCGCGUGGUCGGUACGGCCGAACCUAUAACUCACCAAUUUCUCAUGUGUCAGUCGAAUCCAUUUCUCAUGGUCUGUACGGCUGAACAUAUAACUCAUCAAAUCUCUCUGUACUCACGGUCAAUCCGACCAACUACUAAGUUCAUAAACUUGCUUAAUCGACACUACGAUGUCAUAGAAAACUGUUGGGUACAACUGAUUCUAGGGACGAUUCACAAUUCUGUGUCCCCUCUGUUCACAUAAACACAUUCAUUAAUUUCACACUUCCCAAAGUGUUAAUUUUGUACCUGCUGCACAAAGUACAUUUCCUUUACUCGAGACACCUUGUCUCAAAUAUCUGGGAUUACCAGUAUAUCCAUCACUUUUACUCUGACCAGCGACAUUAAAACCUCAGCUGGAAGAAUUAACUCUAGCUUCACUUCUUUCGAAGCUCUGAAUCUUUCUAUAUCCUUGAUAAGACGAAUCAUUAACUUUAUCGUCUUCUUUUAAUUCCCAUUCAUUUCUUAUUCUUCUUUAUUCUCGUUGAUCAUGUUCUCAGAGUCCUCAAGACUCAAUAGCAUCUCGUAUAUUCCUGGUAAGAAGUAUAAUGGAUAGUGGUCACCCAAAAUACCACUUCCCUUUUUGCCACCCAGCUUAAAACAACAUAACACCUCCACCAAAUUAACAACCAUAUCUGGAUGGAACGAGGCAAGUCUGAAAACUUUCUAUAAUAUCCCUCGAUCAUCACCUUCCUUGUCUCAUAUUUGUAAACUCUUGUUUACUACCAUCGAUAAAUGUCGGAGGGAUAAACUUUUCCUUAAACAAGUCCUUAAACAAUUUUAAAUCGGCUGUUCCUCCGGUGACAACACAUCAUACUCCUGUUUCCACCGGAUACAAAUUCAUACCCAAAACCAGGUAGUCGUCUCGACCCCCUGUCAGAAGGAAAUUUCCUUUGACUUGCAUAAUCUGAAACAUCUUUUCCAAAUGGUUAAACCGUUACUUCGCUCUCUCAGGUUCAUCAUUUCAUAAGGUGAUUCAAGUUCAACUCAUUACCCAUCUUAAAAUGUCCCUUUAGACAAUAGACUGAAACACCAUAGUAAUAGUUUCCCCCCUAAACCGCUAAAUCAGGGAGACUAAGUUCCUCUAACUACGUGGCUUGCUACGAGGCGGUGUAGUUCUGACAGAAUUCACUAGAACUUCUCAAGAUGUCCAAGAUUGCAACCAUACUCUGAUACCAACUGACACACCCCGUCCCGAAGGAGGGCAUGCUGGCCGUCACGUGAGAGUGACGUAACCAUUUGCACAGUACGGAAGCUUUAAGAUACAAUUUAUAAGUUGAUACACCCGAAGGUGAGUCCUAAUUUUGUCCAAUCUGUCAGAACACCGUCAAAUUCCUCGUAGUCACCACACCUUUGUGAUUCCUGAACCUGGAGGGGCGCAAAACCAAAAUUGAGUGGGUCAGUAAAACCAUUCUUUUCCAAAUCCAAACAUUUCUCAAAACGUUGUAACCCCUCUCCGUAAAACCCGUAUACUUUCCCAGAAAUGUAAAAUAUAAAUAUACAUAUAUAUUCUCAAGACUUCAAGUCAUUAACUCAACAUUUUCAUCAUAAUUAUGCCAUGCCAAAUCAUCUCAACAUUUCUCAUAUUAAUUAUGCCAUGCCACAUCAUCUCAACAGUAAUAAGGUAUGAAUGCAUCAACAUAAAUCAUAUCAGGUGCAAUAAAGUAAUCAACCGGAGGCCCUCUAUUAGCCCGGUUGAACCUAGAGCUCAAAAUCUAUCACUCUCACACUCUGCCGGAGUCACUCCGCGUGACCUGUUCGGCCUUCUGCACACAAGUUACGCUCUAGUGCUUUCUCAUCAAUCAUCUGUGCACAUAAUCUAAGGUCACCCACCAGUCGGAAUCUCACUAACACUCUCGCGACUGGCCUGUCGUACCCACUCCGCGUGGACUGUACGACUAGCAUCUACUUGGAUCCAAGACGAGCGUGCGAUGCGGUGAAUACUAUAAGCACUAAACCAUGGUGCAGGAUUUGAGCUCAAUAUACAUUAACAUCAUCAUAUCAGUAUUUAAAUACUCACCUGAUACUCACCUGUGCGUCCGCCGCACCAUUCAUUCAUAUGCAUCAUAUCUCAAUUUCAUACUUUUCAUAUCAUUUCAUGCAUGGCAAUUCGAUUCACAUUUCUAUAUACUUUUCAUAUACUUUUAUGCAUGGCAUCUCAAUUCACAUUUCAAUAUACUUUUCAUAUAAUUUUUAUACAUUGCAUUUAAAGCAUACUUUCCUUCAAUUUCAAUUUCUGGGAAAACGUCAAGUAUAUAUAUAUACGGAAAACAAAACUGCCCACUCACCUGGAGUUCGCCCUACAACUCCCUAGCACAAUACGCCAAGGCGUCAUGACGAUCGGCGCCUAAAACAAUAAUCAAUUCCAACCUCAGAAUUCAUAUCGAUAGAAUAUAUAACUUAUAUAAAAUACGUCACUACGUAGUUCAAUCCGGAAGAUCCACCACUCAGAUUUUAAAUCCAUAACUUCCAGAGGUCCACAAUAUAUCUCUAGGAUAACAUCCUAAAAUUUCAUUACCAUCCAACGGUCGGAUCAUCAAUUCACAUUUUCACCUAAUGCGAAAACUAUAAAACGUUAUUCGAACACCUAACCAACAAUCCUUAAUAACUUUCUCAUACGGUGCUCAACUUGGGUAUAUGAAUAUACCACAGUGAUCUACUCGACGUCACGGACGUCGACAUAUUUUUAAAAUAAUUUUUUACUGUAGCACGCGCCCCCACGCGCCAAGGAAGGCACGGGUCCACGCGCGCCCACGCGCACCUUCUUCCUCGCGGGUUCGCCGGACUGGUUUUUCCGGUGGCCGGAAAACUGGGGAAUUUUCAAAUGCUUCGUUCUCCUUCGUUUCUCAACCAUUUUCUUCGUAUAAUAUAUCAAUUUAAAGCCCUCAACAUGUAGAAUCACAAUAUACUACUUUUAAGCUUCAAAAACAACUAAAUCUCACCGGAAAAAUCCAAGCAAAACCGGCCAAACUUAACCCUCGUGAUCCCGACGUCCAAAUCCUUCCAACGAAGCACUCCGAGCUUCCUUGGGACCUCACUAAGCUCACUAUGAGCUUGGAUUGUCCUAAAAAUCAACCAAUUCAAAGCUCAUGAACAGUACACAUUCACGGCAACUUUAGAAACUAGGGUUUUCGAAGUGAAACUUACCUUAAACUGGUACCUACGUGAUCGUGGAGUCCUCAGGAGUGCAAUGGUGGUUUUAAAUCCGGCGUUGGUAAUAGUUUUAGGUGGUUUUGAUGGUUGCCCGUGUGUUCGAGAGGGUGAGAGAGAGAGAGUGAGGUCUGAGGAAGAGAGAGAGAGUAUGAAGGACAGUAUACGGGAAAUAGGGAGGGAAAUAAGGA